This 72-nucleotide transfer RNA is filed under the name Malus domestica (apple). RNAcentral describes it as "tRNA MD10G0077200". It matches the Rfam family "tRNA". From Rfam's summary of the family: Transfer RNA (tRNA) molecules are approximately 80 nucleotides in length. Their secondary structure includes four short double-helical elements and three loops (D, anti-codon, and T loops). The record is from Rfam by way of RNAcentral. Lineage: Eukaryota; Viridiplantae; Streptophyta; Magnoliopsida; Rosales; Rosaceae.
GCCCCUAUUGCUCAGUGGUAGAGCGUCAAUCUUGUAAACUGAAGGUCUGUAGUUUGAUCCUGCAUGGGGGCA